Peromyscus californicus insignis is the source of this 3330-nucleotide long non-coding RNA. RefSeq lists it as uncharacterized. NCBI's taxonomy places the organism in Eukaryota, Metazoa, Chordata, Mammalia, Rodentia, Cricetidae. The transcript has 3 exons. The record is from RefSeq and is a predicted model, not a curated record.
GCUAGAUCCAUGGUAAUGUUAAUGGAGCUUAAAAUACUUGCUACAAGGAACUAGGUGAGGAGUCAGCUGCUACUCUCCCUCUAGCCCUUCCUCAGCAGUCUUGGGAAAUGCUAAAGUGUACAGAAAGAGGGAGAUUAAUGAAAGGGGUGCUCUAUGAUGCAGCUUCCAUGAGUCCAUCACCCAUGAUGAUGUGGGUCUUUGUGGUGAGGCCACCUCCACACUUUGCACCUUCCAGCACUUUGAAAGCUAGCCAGCAGAGAUGAAGCUUCUAGAUUGGUACCAUCUUGGUUAUUCAAAUUCUAUCACUCAGGAUCUCUUGUAGCUCAGACUGGCCUCCAACUGACCUGAUGAUGAUUCCUGAAUUCCUGAUCCUCAAACUUCUACCUUCCAAGUGAAAAUAUUAGAGGGAUGUACCACCUUGCCUUGCUGGAAGUGGUUUUUCUACUUUAAGCAGUGCUACAUGCAUCCCAUGAUUAAAAUCUCUAAUUUCCAUAGAUUUUCCUGGGAAACCCAUCUGUUGUGAAAUGUUAUUUUAAGAUAUGUUACAUUUGUUUAUGCUCUGGAACAUUUGUUUAAUGAUGCAAAGAUGUUUUGCAUUCUUUUAUGUUGCAUUUGUUUAACUCUGUGAAGCUGUGUUACUUUGCCUGUCUAAAACACCUGAUGGUCUAAUAAAGAGCUGAAUGGCCAAUAGCGAGGCAGGAGAAAGGAUAGGUGGGGAUGGCAGGCAAAGAGAAUAAAUAGGAGGAGAAAUCUGGGAGGAAAAGAAGAAGUAGCCAGAGAAAGAGGAAGGCAUCAUGGGCCAACCACACAGCCACACAGCCACACAGCCAGCCAUGGAGUAAGGGUGAAAAUAAGAUUACAGAAGUAAGAAAAGUAAAAAGCCCAGAAGCAAAAGGUAGAAGGGAUAAAUUAAAAUUAAGAAAAGCUGUCAAGAAACAAGCCAAAUUAAGGCUGGGCAUUUAUAAUUAAGAAUAAGCCUCCAUGUGUGAUUUAUUUGGGAGCUGGGUGGUGGGCCCCCCAAAAAGACAAAUAGUAUAAAGAGUGAAAACAAACAACAACAUCAAUAUCUUAUGAUCUGGCCUUUGUUUACUUCCUCAAGAAUUAUCUGUCAUUCCACACACUACUUUAUUACCUCUGGUACCACAAGCACACUGCUCUUAAGCCACACCAAGGCUUCUGUCCUCCCUGCAUGCAUCCACACAUGCUCUGCUACUGGAGAGCCCUCUCAGUCCUCAUCCAUGAUGCCUUUUUGCCCCCUAUAUCAUCUGAGAAGUUGUACAUGCAUGUGUGUGCAUACACAUGUGAGUGCAUGUAUGUAUGUGUGUGUGGUAUAGUAUGUGAGUGUGCAUGGUGUGCAUGGUGUGCAUGAUGAUAGUACAUUUCUGUGGUAUGUGUGCAGAUAUACAUGGAGUCCAGAGGUCAACUUAUGAUGUGGUUCUGCAGGUUUUGCCCAUAUUAAUUUUUGAGGAAGAGUCUCUCACUUGGCUAGUCCCCGGGAUCUGCUUGUCUCUGCAUCCACAUCACUGGGAAUACAAACAUCCACCACCACACCUGGCUUUUUUUUUUAAACAUGGGUUCUGGACAUCCAACUCAGGUUUUCAAGUUUACAGGAAAAGUGCUUUAUUGACUGAGCUAUUUCUCUGGCCACAUGGGUGACAUUCAAUCAGUACAUGGCUAAAUGAAUGAAGAAAUCUCCUCCUUGAGGGGAUGGCCAUGAAAAUCAUAUGGGCAUACACAUGAUUUGUAGUAUCCAUAAUAUUCCAAAAAACAAAAGUUCUGCUGAGAAAAGCCUGGAUAAGGACACCAGCUGAUGGUUUGGGCAGCAUUGUGGGAAGUAACAAAGAUGAUCUAUUACCCAGAGCUCUCUAGAGGAGCAGAACCUGUAGCUAGAGUCUUCCUGCCUGGCCCACAGUCAGGACAAAUCUCUCUCAUCUGCCAGUCCCACAGCUGCUCAGAUCCAACCAAGUAAACACACAGAGACUUAUAUUACUUAUAAACUGUAUGGCCAUGGCAGCCUUCUAGCUAGCUGUCCGAUAUCUUAAAUUAACCCAUUUCUAUUAAUCUAUAAGUUGCCACGUAGCUUGUGCCUUACUGGUAUCUUAACAUCUUCUCACGGCGGCGGCUGGCAGCAUCUCUCUGCCUCAGCCUUCCACUUCCCAGAAUUCUCUUCUCUCCUUGCCAUGCAUAUACUUCCUUCCUGGAUACUGGCCAAUCAGAGUUUUAUUUAUUAACCAAUCAGAAUAACACAUUUAACAUACAGAACAUCCCACAGCAAGAACCAACAAAACAAACGUGUAUUACACAGAUAGAUUUAUUAUGUUGGCUAACAUGAUACAAAGUGGUCCACAAAUGGCCAUUUCCUGGCAGGAGAGACUGAGAACCCUGUAGCUGGUCAGUUCCUAAGGCUGGCAUCUCAGUAGUCACAAUCAGAUUACUAAAGCCUGGAAAUUUUCUGGAUAGCAGCUGGUCUUCAGUCCAUGUUGGAAGGCUGAAGAAACCGGUUUCUGAUGGCAAUUAAGGAAGAAUACAAACAAAAAUUCAAAAUUGGAAAUACAAUUCUUACUGAACAUAUACCACUUUUGCACCGUCACGUGACUGGAAUCUUGUAAGUUGAACCCUAUUAAGUUGGAAACUGUCUGAAUGCAAAUCAUCUCCUUCAUUUUGUCUCUAGAGCCACAAGGUAUGAAAUGUUCACCAUACAGAGACUUGGUAGAGUUUUCAGAGCCCUGUUCUGAGGAGCACAACCAGGAAGCUCUCUUCCUUAUCUCCCUCAUCUAAGGACCUUCCACAAAGCACACUCAGGUGAGGGGGUGAAGAAGGAGUACAUAGAACUCUGCUCGUGAGACCAGAGGAGGGCAGAGGGACACAGAAUCUUCACAGGAAGAACAGAGACAGCCAGCCAUGCCCAGGACAGCUUCACACUGAGCAGAGUUCACCACGUUCUUUUACAGCAGUGAGAUAGAGGCAUGAAAUCCUGCACCAGGAACUCUCAGCAUGUAGGAGCAGAAGCAAAGAGUAGAGAGAAGACCAUGAACCAAGGUCAUAAAGAACAGAAGCUUCAAAGAACAGAAGCUUCAAAGAACAAGAGACUUGGCUUCUGAGCCACUAUAGAUAAUCUAUUAACCUCUCUGUUUCCUAAGUGACUCAUCUGUGAAAAAGUGGCAAUGUGCCUUCAUUGCAGAAGUGAAGACAGGCAUAUGAAGUUGCUGUAUAGUUAUUUCCUCAUAAUUAAAACAUUAAGACCAAUAAAGUAUACUAAUGUAUUUUCUGUUGCUGCAAUAAACUGCUCUGAUAAAAACAACUAAACAAUGAUGUGAUUAUUUUGGCUUA